CCCGCGUCUGAUUAGCCAGUUGGCAGGGUAACGGCCUACCAAAGCGACGAUCAGUAGCCGGCCUGAGAGGGUGGACGGCCACAUUGGGACUGAGACACGGCCCAAACUCCUACGGAAGGCAGCAG
Molecule: ribosomal RNA, 125 nt
Filed under: uncultured bacterium
Lineage: Bacteria
Description: partial 16S ribosomal RNA
Rfam family: Bacterial small subunit ribosomal RNA
Source: RNAcentral